This 253-nucleotide ribosomal RNA is filed under the name uncultured bacterium. RNAcentral describes it as "partial 16S ribosomal RNA". It matches the Rfam family "Bacterial small subunit ribosomal RNA", at positions 524 to 776 of the family's 1533-position model. The record is from RNAcentral.
UACGUAGGGGGCUAGCGUUGUCCGGAAUCAUUGGGCGUAAAGCGCGUGUAGGCGGUCCGGUAAGUCCGCUGUGAAAGUCGGGGGCUCAACCCUCGAAUGCCGGUGGAUACUGUCGGGCUAGAGUGCGGAAGAGGCGAGUGGAAUUCCUGGUGUAGCGGUGAAAUGCGUAGAUAUCUGGAGGAACACCGGUGGCGAAGGCGGCAUCCUGGACCGGUAUUGACGCUGAGGCGCGAAAGCCAGGGGAGCAAACGGG